CUGCAGGAUCUCCUCCGCCUGGAUGGCGAUGUCCGUGGCCUGGCCCUGGGGGGACGAGGGGGGGGACAGGGACCGUGUUGGGGGGGGGAUGUGGGGGGACAAGGGGGGGGCAGCGAUGCGGCUCCCCCAGCCCUGCUCCCCCCCACACACACACACACCUCCACCGCUGCCCCGGGGCUGCCAGCUCCGUCCCUGUCCCAUCCCGGUCUCCUUCCCAUCCCAUCCCUGUCCCUGUUCCCAUCCCCAUUCGGUCCCCAUCCUCAGCCCAUCCCUGUCCCCAUUCGGUCCCCAUCCCUGUCCCCAGUCCCAUCUCCUCCCUGUCCCCUUCCCAUCCUCAUCCCCACUUCCAUCCCUGUCCACAUCCUCUCCCUGUUCCUUUGCCAUCCCCAUCUACUCCCAUCCCUGUCCCCAUCCUGUUGUCCCCAUCCCACCCCUCCUCUCCAUCCCUUCCCCGUCCCUUUCCCCUUUCCAGCCAUCCACUCCCACCUGUCCCCUCUCCAUUCCCAUCUUGCCGCUGUCUCCAUUCCUGUUCCCUCCAUUCCUAUCCUGCCGUCCCCAUCCCACGCCUGUCUCCAUCCCCUUUCCAUCCUCAUCCUCUCCCCAUCCCAUUCCUGUUCCUGUCCCCAUCCCGCUGUCCCCAUCCUGUCCCUGUCUCCAUCCCUAUUCUGCUGUCCCCAUCCCACGCCUGUCUCCAUUCCCUCUCCAUCCUCAUCCUGUCCCUGUCUUCUCCCUAUUCCUGUCUCCAUCCUCUCUCCAUCCCCAACUGCUCCCAUKCCUGUCUCCAUCCUGUCCCUAUCCUUUCCAUUCCUGCUCCUGUCCCCAUUCUUCUGUUUUUUCUCCAUCCUCAUCCUUUCCUUUUCCCAUUCCAGUCUACAUCCAGUCCCAUUCCUGUCCUCAUCCUGUCUUUGUCCUCUCCCUAUUCCUGUCCCCAUCUUCUCCCCAUCCCUGUUCCUGUCCCCGUCCUCUCUCACCCCCAUCCUUUCUCCAUCCCCGUCCCCGUCCCGGCCCCCAUCCCCAUCCCGCUCCCCAUCCCGUUCCUGUCCCUUUCCCAUCCCGCUCCCCAUCCCGUCCC
Molecule: long non-coding RNA, 1072 nt
Filed under: Apteryx owenii (little spotted kiwi)
Lineage: Eukaryota; Metazoa; Chordata; Aves; Apterygiformes; Apterygidae
Description: lncRNA (ENSAOWG00000014135.1)
Source: RNAcentral